AAGUCGUAACAAGGUAACCGUAGGUGAACCUGCGGUUGGAUCAUUAAAAAAUUUGAAGGCGCUCCUACACAUAAUCCUUUGGAUUUACUGUAGUUGAACGUUCUUCUGUCUGAAAAGUCAACACUUUGUGCACUAGAAAUGUUUUUGGGAGUUUAUGACUCCCAGCAUUAUAAACCAAUUUUUAUAUAUUAGUCUAAUAGUUUUUCAUAUAAUGAAAUAUAUAAAAACAACUUUUGACAACGGAUCUCUUGGCUCUC
This 257-nucleotide unclassified non-coding RNA is filed under the name Rhizophydium globosum. RNAcentral describes it as "partial internal transcribed spacer region". The stretch from base 1 to 46 matches the Rfam family "Eukaryotic small subunit ribosomal RNA", at positions 1786 to 1831 of the family's 1831-position model. Lineage: Eukaryota; Fungi; Chytridiomycota; Chytridiomycetes; Rhizophydiales; Rhizophydiaceae. The record is from RNAcentral.